GUCCACGCCGUAAACGGUGGGCACUAGGUGUGGGUUCCAACCAACGGGAUCCGUGCCGUAGCUAACGCAUUAAGUGUCCCGCCUGGGGAGUACGGCCGCAAGGCUAAAACUCAAAGGAAUUGACGGGGGCCCGCACAAGCAGCGGAGCAUGUUGCUUAAUUCGAGGCAACGCGAAGAACCUUACCUGGGCUUGACAUGGUCGGAAAAGCUACAGAGAUGUGGUGUCCUUCGGGGACGAUCACAGGUGGUGCAUGGCUGUCGU
Molecule: ribosomal RNA, 262 nt
Filed under: uncultured bacterium
Lineage: Bacteria
Description: partial 16S ribosomal RNA
Rfam family: Bacterial small subunit ribosomal RNA
Source: RNAcentral